UUGAUCCUGGCUCAGAUUGAACGCUGGCGGCAUGCCUUACACAUGCAAGUCGAACGGCAGCGCGGGAGCAAUCCUGGCGGCGAGUGGCGAACGGGUGAGUAAUAUAUCGGAACGUGCCCUGGAGUGGGGGAUAACCAGUCGAAAGACUGGCUAAUACCGCAUACGCUCUCUGGAGGAAAGUGGGGGAUCGCAAGACCUCAUGCUCGUGGAGCGGCCGAUAUCUGAUUAGCUAGUUGGUGGGGUAAAGGCCCACCAAGGCGACGAUCAGUAGCUGGUCUGAGAGGACGACCAGCCACACUGGGACUGAGACACGGCCCAGACUCCUACGGGAGGCAGCAGUGGGGAAUUUUGGACAAUGGGGGCAACCCUGAUCCAGCAAUGCCGCGUGUGUGAAGAAGGCCUUCGGGUUGUAAAGCACUUUUGUUCGGAAAGAAAUCGCUCUGGCUAAUACCUGGAGUGGAUGACGGUACCGGAAGAAUCAGCACCGGCUAACUACGUGCCAGCAGCCGCGGUAAUACGUAGGGUGCAAGCGUUAAUCGGAAUUACUGGGCGUAAAGCGUGCGCAGGCGGUUGUGCAAGACAGAGGUGUAAUCCCCGGGCUUAACCUGGGAACGGCCUUUGUGACUGCACGGCUAGAGUGUGUCAGAGGGGGGUAGAAUUCCACGUGUAGCAUGAAAUGCGUAAAGAUGUGGAGGAAUACCGAUUGGCGAAGCAGCCCCUGGGAAUAACACUGACGCUUCAUGCACCGAAAGCGUUGGGGGAAGCCAAACAGGAUUAAGAUACCCUGUUAGUCCACCGCCCUUAAACGAUGUAACUAGUUGUUCGGGAUUAAUUUCCCUUGGUAACGCAGCUAACGCGUGAAGUUGACCGCCUGGGGAGUACGGUCGCAAGAUUAAAACUCAAAAGGAAUUGACGGGGACCCGCACAAGCGGUGGAUGAUGUGGAUUAAUUCGAUGCAACGCGAAAAACCUUACCUACCCUUGACAUGGUCGGAACCCUGGAGAGAUCUGGGGGUGCUCGAAAGAGAACCGGCGCACAGGUGCUGCAUGGGCGUCGUCAGCUCGUGUCGUGAGAUGUUGGGUUAAGUCCCGCAACGAGCGCAACCCUUGUCAUUAGUUGCUACGAAAGGGCACUCUAAUGAGACUGCCGGUGACAAACCGGAGGAAGGUGGGGAUGACGUCAAGUCCUCAUGGCCCUUAUGGGUAGGGCUUCACACGUCAUACAAUGGUGCAUACAGAGGCCNCNCCAACCCGCGAGGGGGAGCUAAUCCCAGAAAGUGCAUCGUAGUCCGGAUUGCAGUCUGCAACUCGACUGCAUGAAGUUGGAAUCGCUAGUAAUCGCGGAUCAGCAUGUCGCGGUGAAUACGUUCCCGGGUCUUGUACACACCGCCCGUCACACCAUGGGAGCGGGUUUUACCAGAAGUGGGUAGCCUAACCGCCAAGGAGGGCGCUUACCACGGUAUGGAUUCGUGACUGGGGUGAAGUCGUAACAAGGUAGACCGUAUCGGAAGGUGCGGCUGGAUCACCUCC
This 1529-nucleotide ribosomal RNA is filed under the name uncultured bacterium. Its description in RNAcentral is "bacterial SSU rRNA". It matches the Rfam family "Bacterial small subunit ribosomal RNA". The record is from RNAcentral.